RNAcentral lists this long non-coding RNA (448 nucleotides) under Homo sapiens (human). RNAcentral's name for it is "non-protein coding lnc-FITM2-1:3". Lineage: Eukaryota; Metazoa; Chordata; Mammalia; Primates; Hominidae. The record is from RNAcentral.
UGUGGACUAAUGGAGGAGACGGACCUUAAUCAGAUCGUCAUUCAAAGAUACUAUUACAAACUGUUCUGAGAGCCGAGGAAGCAGGAAGGAGCUGUGAGAGACUGAGCUCUAACCUUGGCCAUCAAAGACAAGCUGUGCAGCUCUGGUUUUUUGAGGGCAGGACAUGGAGGGUCAGGCCCAGCUGGAGGCGCACCAAAGCCCAGAGAAAAUUCAGAACCACGUGAACUUGUUGGAUUUCAGCCCCUUGAAGCACAUGUUGCUAUUGCAGCUGCCUUGAUAACUGGGGGGACAGGAGGAGCACGGCUUUCCCAUCUUGUACGGGGACUCGCCAAUCCAGUUGCCCCUGGAAGAGAAAAGGACCCAGGGAGACAGAGGAGCAUUAGGUGAGUAACCUUCACACAGAUGUCCAGAUCUCAGCGCUGCCACUGACCAGCCCUGGGGACCUGGG